AUAAGAGUGUACAAAACGAGAAGGAAAUGAUGGAAUCAGAUGGGUGCUUGGUGGAGGUGAAUUCCGGCUGGCCGGUAAAUCCACGAUCUGGUCGGUACGUAGGUUAUUCAGUUUUUUCUUUUUCUAGAUGACAAUCACUGUAAUAACAGCCAAAGUCGUUCGACUUGGUAUUUCAAGUCUAUUGGGUUUUGGUAUUUUCAGUAUAUACAUAACUUGUUUGUAGAAAGAGAGUCUGCCAAAGGAACUACAUUUUGUGAGAUCAGAAUUGCAU
RNAcentral lists this long non-coding RNA (271 nucleotides) under Malus domestica (apple). RNAcentral describes it as "long non-coding RNA (MDOM_LNC002428)". Lineage: Eukaryota; Viridiplantae; Streptophyta; Magnoliopsida; Rosales; Rosaceae. The record is from RNAcentral.